Molecule: ribosomal RNA, 497 nt
Filed under: uncultured bacterium
Lineage: Bacteria
Description: partial 16S ribosomal RNA
Rfam family: Bacterial small subunit ribosomal RNA
Source: RNAcentral
GAUGAACGAUGGCGGCGUGCCUAAUACAUGCAAGUCGAGCGAACGGACGAGAAGCUUGCUUCUCUGAUGUUAGCGGCGGACGGGUGAGUAACACGUGGAUAACCUACCUAUAAGACUGGGAUAACUUCGGGAAACCGGAGCUAAUACCGGAUAAUAUUUUGAACCGCAUGGUUCAAAAGUGAAAGACGGUCUUGCUGUCACUUAUAGAUGGAUCCGCGCUGCAUUAGCUAGUUGGUAAGGUAACGGCUUACCAAGGCAACGAUGCAUAGCCGACCUGAGAGGGUGAUCGGCCACACUGGAACUGAGACACGGUCCAGACUCCUACGGGAGGCAGCAGUAGGGAAUCUUCCGCAAUGGGCGAAAGCCUGACGGAGCAACGCCGCGUGAGUGAUGAGGGUCUUCGGAUCGUAAAACUCUGUUAUUAGGGAAGAACAUAUGUGUAAGUAACUGUGCACAUCUUGACGGUACCUAAUCAGAAAGCCACGGCUAACUACGUG